RNAcentral lists this ribosomal RNA (587 nucleotides) under uncultured bacterium. Its description in RNAcentral is "bacterial SSU rRNA". It matches the Rfam family "Bacterial small subunit ribosomal RNA", at positions 338 to 948 of the family's 1533-position model. The record is from RNAcentral.
CCUACGGGAGGCAGCAGUGGGGAAUAUUGGACAAUGGGCGAAAGCCUGAUCCAGCAAUGCCGCGUGAGUGAUGAAGGCCUUCGGGUCGUAAAGCUCUUUUACCAGGGAUGAUAAUGACAGUACCUGGAGAAUAAGCUCCGGCUAACUCCGUGCCAGCAGCCGCGGUAAUACGGAGGGAGCUAGCGUUGUUCGGAAUUACUGGGCGUAAAGAGUACGUAGGCGGUUAUUCAAGUCAGAGGUGAAAGCCCGGGGCUCAACCCCGGAACUGCCUUUGAAACUAGAUAACUAGAGUCUUGGAGAGGUUAGUGGAAUUCCGAGUGUAGAGGUGAAAUUCGUAGAUAUUCGGAAGAACACCAGUGGCGAAGGCGACUAACUGGACAAGUACUGACGCUGAGGUACGAAAGCGUGGGGAGCAAACAGGAUUAGAUACCCUGGUAGUCCACGCCGUAAACGAUGAUAACUAGUUGUUCGGUCACUUGGUGACUGAGUGACGCAGCUAACGCAUUAAGUUAUCCGCCUGGGGAUACGGUCGCAAGAUUAAAACUCAAAGGAAUUGACGGCUGAGACGCGACGAGACACAGGAGUAG